RNAcentral lists this ribosomal RNA (393 nucleotides) under uncultured bacterium. RNAcentral describes it as "bacterial SSU rRNA". It matches the Rfam family "Bacterial small subunit ribosomal RNA", at positions 138 to 518 of the family's 1533-position model. The record is from RNAcentral.
UGGGGAUAGCUAUUAGAAAUAGUAGAUAAUACCGAAUACGAGCACAGGGGUUAGAGAUCUGGUGAGGAAAGGAGCUAAGGCUCCGCUGAAGGAAUGGCCUGCGGCCAUUAGCUAGUUGGUGAGGUAAGAGCCCACAAGGCGAUGAUGGGUAUCCGGCCUUAGAGGGUGAACGGACACAUUGGGACUGAGAUACGGCCCAGACUCCUACGGGAGGCAGCAGCUAAGAAUAUUCCGCAAUGGACGAAAGUCUGACGGAGCGACGCCGCGUGGAUUAGAAGAAGGCCGGAAGGUUGUAAAAUCCUUUUGGAACUGAAGAAUAAGCGUUGUAGGGAAUGACAGCGUGGUGACAGUAGGUUUUGAAUAGGCAACGGCUAAUUACGUGCCAGCAGCCGC